GUUGUAUGGUUAAGUGACUAAGCGUACACGGUGGAUGCCUUGGCAGUCAGAGGCGAUGAAGGACGUAUUAACUUGCGAUAAGCCCAGAUUAGGUAGUAAAAACCAUUUGAGUCUGGGAUUUCCGAAUGGGGAAACCCACUUACAUAAGUAAGUAUCGCUGCGUGAAUACAUAGCGCAGCGAGGCGAACCGGGGGAACUGAAACAUCUAAGUACCCCGAGGAAAAGAAAUCAACCGAGAUUCCGAAAGUAGCGGCGAGCGAAAUUGGACUAGCCCUUAAGCUUUUUAUGCGUCAGGUGAAACUUCUGGAAAGUUGUGCGAUACAGGGUGAUAGCCCCGUAACCGGCAACGCAUAUAAAGUGAAAUCGAGUAGGGCGGGACACGUGAUAUCCUGUCUGAAUAUGGGGGGACCAUCCUCCAAGGCUAAAUACUACUGACUGACCGAUAGUGAACCAGUACCGUGAGGGAAAGGCGAAAAGAACCCCUGUGAGGGGAGUGAAAUAGAACCUGAAACCGUGUACGUACAAGCAGUAGGAGCACCUUCGUGGUGUGACUGCGUACCUUUUGUAUAAUGGGUCAGCGACUUAUAUUCAGUGGCAAGGUUAACCAUCUAGGGGAGCCGUAGCGAAAGCGAGUGUUAACUGCGCGACUCAGUCGCUGGAUAUAGACCCGAAACCAGGUGAUCUAGCCAUGGGCAGGUUGAAGAUUGAGUAACAUCAAUUGGAGGACCGAACCGACUAAUGUUGAAAAAUUAGCGGAUGACUUGUGGCUAGGGGUGAAAGGCCAAUCAAACCUGGAGAUAGCUGGUUCUCCCCGAAAGCUAUUUAGGUAGCGCCUCGGACGAAUACUACUGGGGGUAGAGCACUGUUAAGGCUAGGGGGUCAUCCCGACUUACCAACCCUUUGCAAACUCCGAAUACCAGUAAGUACUAUCCGGGAGACACACGGCGGGUGCUAACGUCCGUCGUGGAGAGGGAAACAACCCAGACCGCCAGCUAAGGUCCCAAAUUACUACUAAGUGGGAAACGAUGUGGGAAGGCUCAGACAGCCAGGAUGUUGGCUUAGAAGCAGCCAUCAUUUAAAGAAAGCGUAAUAGCUCACUGGUCGAGUCGGCCUGCGCGGAAGAUGUAACGGGGCUAAGUAGUAAACCGAAGCUGCGGCAAUGCACUUUGUGCAUUGGGUAGGGGAGCGUUCUGUAAGCGGUUGAAGGUGUGUGGUAACGCAUGCUGGACGUAUCAGAAGUGCGAAUGCUGACAUGAGUAACGAUAAAGGGGGUGAAAAACCUCCUCGCCGGAAGACCAAGGGUUCCUGUCCAACGUUAAUCGGGGCAGGGUAAGUCGACCCCUAAGGCGAGGCCGAAAGGCGUAGUCGAUGGGAAACGGGUUAAUAUUCCCGUACUUCUUACAAUUGCGAUGGGGGGACGGAGAAGGCUAGGUGGGCCUGGCGACGGUUGUCCAGGUUCAAGUGCGUAGGCUGAGAGAUUAGGUAAAUCCGGUUUCUCUUAAGGCUGAGACACGACGUCGAGCUACUACGGUAGUGAAGUCAUUGAUGCCAUGCUUCCAGGAAAAGCCUCUAAGCUUCAGAUUGUAAGGAAUCGUACCCCAAACCGACACAGGUGGUCGGGUAGAGAAUACCAAGGCGCUUGAGAGAACUCGGGUGAAGGAACUAGGCAAAAUGGUACCGUAACUUCGGGAGAAGGUACGCUCUUGAUGGUGAAGUCCCUUGCGGAUGGAGCUGACGAGAGUCGCAGAUACCAGGUGGCUGCAACUGUUUAUUAAAAACACAGCACUGUGCAAAAUCGUAAGAUGACGUAUACGGUGUGACGCCUGCCCGGUGCCGGAAGGUUAAUUGAUGGGGUUAGACUUCGGUCGAAGCUCUUGAUCGAAGCCCCGGUAAACGGCGGCCGUAACUAUAACGGUCCUAAGGUAGCGAAAUUCCUUGUCGGGUAAGUUCCGACCUGCACGAAUGGCGUAAUGAUGGCCACGCUGUCUCCACCCGAGACUCAGUGAAAUUGAAAUCGCUGUGAAGAUGCAGUGUACCCGCGGCUAGACGGAAAGACCCCGUGAACCUUUACUACAGCUUGGCACUGAACAUUGACCCUACAUGUGUAGGAUAGGUGGGAGGCUUUGAAGCAAGUACGCCAGUAUUUGUGGAGCCGUCCUUGAAAUACCACCCUUGUAGUGUUGAUGUUCUAACGU
RNAcentral lists this ribosomal RNA (2195 nucleotides) under Vibrio owensii. RNAcentral's name for it is "partial 23S ribosomal RNA". It matches the Rfam family "Bacterial large subunit ribosomal RNA", at positions 1 to 2228 of the family's 2925-position model. Lineage: Bacteria; Pseudomonadati; Pseudomonadota; Gammaproteobacteria; Vibrionales; Vibrionaceae. The record is from RNAcentral.